AUUGUCAGUUUGGACAAAGACUUCGUUCCCAGUACCCGGAAGCUGCCUCUGGUGACCGUGCAGGAUCCCAGCGGGAACCGCAUCGCCCAGUGGCGAGAUGUGACUCCGCAGCAGGGCAUCGUGGAUCUGUCCCUCCUGCUAUCUGCAGAGCCGGCCGUGGGGACGUACGCCAUCGAGGCGCAGGGGACAAGGCACUCAUUCAGCGUGG
This is a non-coding RNA of Chrysemys picta bellii (western painted turtle), 208 nucleotides long. The record is from RefSeq and is a predicted model, not a curated record. NCBI's taxonomy places the organism in Eukaryota, Metazoa, Chordata, Testudines, Emydidae.